Long non-coding RNA from Syzygium oleosum, 353 nucleotides. RefSeq lists it as uncharacterized. NCBI's taxonomy places the organism in Eukaryota, Viridiplantae, Streptophyta, Magnoliopsida, Myrtales, Myrtaceae. The transcript is spliced from 3 exons. The record is from RefSeq and is a predicted model, not a curated record.
AGUGUAGUAUCGAUGCACUGUUAGAGCACAUAAUCAAGCAUAUGCUUUUUCUACAGAGCAUCACUUAGGACGCUGGCAAGCAAGACAAGUGCGCCGAAUCGAAGCUCCAUCACAAUGAACCAGACUUACGCGGAACCUCCAAUAAUGAACCAGGAUCGAGCUGGACUGUGGAGUGGGCAUCGAUCUCAAGGGUUACUCAAUCAGGGUCGAAAAUCUUUGUAAGAAGCCAGCUGCAUGCGGAGAUGUCGUGUGAAGAGUGCAGUCAUUUUCUUGAGAUAGCAGAAGCAAUUAGAAGCUUGGGUCUGACAAUCUUAAAGAGGUGUCACCGAAGAACAUGGUGAGAAGAUACGGAU